This 425-nucleotide long non-coding RNA is filed under the name Mytilus galloprovincialis (Mediterranean mussel). The record is from RNAcentral. Lineage: Eukaryota; Metazoa; Mollusca; Bivalvia; Mytilida; Mytilidae.
AAUGGGCGUAUGACAUUUGCGCCGAUUUUGAAAAUUUCCAUUCUUUCAUUUGCGCCGAUUUCAUUUUUUCAUUUGCGCCGAUUUUAUAAUUUCUCCUAAUUGGAUUUACAGGUAAAAAUAAGUUAAUACUUUUACAUGUACUAUAACUUGAAGGUUUAUUGGUAUAUCUGAUUAUAAACGUUGUUCAAUUAUGUUAAAUAGAUAUAGGAAGAUGUGGUAUGAAUGCAAAUGAGACAAUUCUCCAUCCAAGCUGAUUGGAAGACUAUUUAUGAAAGUAAACCAUUUUUAAGUUUAUUUUGAUUCUAAUUGUUCUGGAAAUUCGUUGUAACACGAUGGACAUAUUGUAACGACCCGAUGAGUCAAUUCUUUAAUCUUCGACAGCCAUACAUAUCGGAGGGUCAGUGUCCAGAAAAAUAACAUAUCUU